ACGAGAUCUCUUCUGUGUGACUGUAAGCUCCCAAAGGGCAAGGAUUAGAAAUUAUGUACGUCUCAGCUCCACAGCAGCGCCUGGUGCGUGGUCUGGAGUGCGUGCCUGCUCCUGAUAUUCAAUAUUUUGCAGGAGGAGUGUUUUGGCGGCUUUUUUAGGGUCAUGGGUCUCUCC
This 174-nucleotide long non-coding RNA is filed under the name Mustela putorius furo (domestic ferret). RNAcentral describes it as "lncRNA (ENSMPUG00000027958.1)". The record is from RNAcentral. Lineage: Eukaryota; Metazoa; Chordata; Mammalia; Carnivora; Mustelidae.